RNAcentral lists this ribosomal RNA (391 nucleotides) under uncultured bacterium. RNAcentral's name for it is "bacterial SSU rRNA". It matches the Rfam family "Bacterial small subunit ribosomal RNA", at positions 28 to 417 of the family's 1533-position model. The record is from RNAcentral.
GACGAACGCUGGCGGCGUGCUUAACACAUGCAAGUCGAGACGGGUAAGGCCCUUUCGGGGGUACACGAGCGGCGAACGGGUGAGUAACACGUGGGUGACCUGCCCUCAGCUCUGGGGAUAAGCCUGGGAAACCGGGUCUAAUACUGGAUAUGACUCCAUGACGCAUGUUGUGGGGUGGAAAGCCUUGUGCGGCUGAGGAUGGGCCCGCGGCCUAUCAGCUUGUUGGUGGGGNGAUGGCCUACCAAGGCGACGACGGGUAGCCGGCCUCGAGAGGGCGACCGGCCACACCUGGGACUGAGGCACGGCCCAGACUCCUACGGGAGGCAGCAGUGGGAAUCUUGCGCAAUGGCGAAAGCCUGACGCAGCGACGCCGCGUGAGGGAUGACGGCCU